AUCCAUGAGAAGACACAGUGUUCCAUCCAGAGGAUGUAGCAUCAAGGCGUCAUCUUAAAAGCAGAGAAAAGACUCUUACUUGACACCAGAUGCCAGUGCAUUGAUCUUGGACUUCCCAGCCUCUAGAACUGUAAACAGCCCUGGGACAAAGAACAGACUACGGGUAUUGCCUUCUUAAUCAACAAUAAAGUAUUAGUUGGCUUCCAGGCAGACACCACUGACUUUCAAGAGAAAGGCACGGGAGUAAGGAAGUAAAGAAUUCAGGUGCUGCUUGAAAAUACAACAAACUGUCUUCAGAAUACUUUUAUGUGUUGUUGAAAGAAAGCACUGCAGCUAAUAUAGCUACAAAGGAGAAACAGUUAUUCUUAAAUGUCAUCUAUUUGCUGGACCUGAACAGGAAUUCACUAUGGAGCUCAUACAACUACCACCUUCAGCUAUUAAUCAAGGAGUCAUUCAACUGAGAAAGGGGAGAUUGAGAUGUUGAAUCAUUUCUCAUUCUGUGAAGUCUACCAGAAUAACCCAUAAAGCAAAUAUCAACCUAUUUCAAGCCAAAAUAAAUGGAUGUGAAGCAGAUUGGACUCAAAGCAUUGAAAUCAAGACUUUGGCAUUAACUAACUCUGUGUGUUUAGACAAAAUGGAAUCAUCUUGAAGAACACAGAUUAUCAGGCCUUACCCUAGAGUUUCUUACUCAGUACCUCUGGUGUGAGAGCACAAAAACUGGCCUUUAUAACAAGUCCUCAUGUGAUGCUGAUGCUGUUAGACUGGAAGCCACGCUCGUGAACCAUGGGUUUAGAUAUCACUGGGACCCUCAUGGAGCCCAUUUUCUCAGGCGUAGAAUGUGACUGAAGACCACUUACCACCAAAGAAUUUAUCUGGGAGAAGUCCUUUUUAAAAGCAUAUACAUAUUUUUUUUAAUAUGUACACAUUCUUAAAAGAAUUAUUUUCAGUUAUAAUCUAGGACCACUCCACUGAUCUGACUACUUUAUGAGAAACAUAAUCAGAUUAUUAUAACAUAUGAAGACUGUCAGUGGUACAUUCUAGUGUCACCCUGGAUAUUAUAUUAUUGAAAUUAGAAAAAUGAAAAAUACUGAUACAGCAGACGAAUUCUGGAACUAACACUUCCACAAAUCAUUGAUAAUCCAUUUUCCAACUUCUUCAAAUUCCAGACCAUCAACAAGACAUCAAGGGCUCCGGACAUUGUGAAAGUUUCCCUUUAAGUUACGACGGGAAUCCAGAACAACGCCGUAUGGACCCCUCUGCAGGUAGCAAGGAAAAGCGCCAGUAACUUUUAAAGGCUUGUUUUGCAUAUUAUUCAGGCCUAAAUCACGGUUCUCAUAAAUUGAUUAUCAUGUCCCUUUCAUCUGUCCAUUUAUGCUUCUAAAUGGUUCUUAAUGGUUCACUAUAUUUGAAGGCCAUAACCAUUUGCUGAUGAGUUACUAGUUUAAUUUGUCACUAUUUCUCCAAUACAUAUAUGUAAGUGCUUAUCGUCUUUUAAUCCUAGAUAUUCUUCUGGAAGUAAUAAUAAAAGUUGAAAGCUGGAAGGAAAAUAA
Long non-coding RNA from Homo sapiens (human), 1550 nucleotides. Ensembl annotates it as long intergenic non-protein coding RNA 1709. Lineage: Eukaryota; Metazoa; Chordata; Mammalia; Primates; Hominidae. The record is from Ensembl.